This is a long non-coding RNA of Caretta caretta (loggerhead turtle), 1466 nucleotides long. RefSeq lists it as uncharacterized. The record is from RefSeq and is a predicted model, not a curated record. Lineage: Eukaryota; Metazoa; Chordata; Testudines; Cheloniidae.
AGUCCUGGCUGACCAGGCUUUAUCAUUAACCUACCACCCCCUGACUGAGUUUGGCCACAUCAGACAUGCCAAAACUCUAAAAGCCCUGAAAAAUAUUAGAGCCACAACCUGUGAAGUGGAUCCAAGCCCUCUUGGCUGGUAAAAGGCAGUGCAGAAUGGAAAUAUUCAGUGCCUCCUUCAGAGAAGCACAACUACCAAACUCCUUAAAAAUGCAAUAGUUCACUCAAACCCCAUGAAGUCAAUUUGAUCCCAAAGAUCUCUCUAACCACCAUUCUGUCUUCAGUCUCUUUUUCCAGGGCAAAAUAACUGAGAAAGUGGGAUCCACCAGGCUCCAACACCAUGUGACAUCAGCCAACAUCCUGGAUGCCUCACAGUUGGGUUUCAGACUGGGGCACAGCACAGAGACUGCUCUAGUGGCAUUAAAAGACAAUCUCCUCAUGGCCAUGGUCUCAAGUAAGGUCUCCAUGCUCAUGCUACUAGACCUCUCUGCAGCCUUUGUCACAAUGGACAAGGUAGCCCAGGAUUUGAGAGUGGAACCUCUGAGACUUGAGAAAAAUGAAGUGAACACCAGGAGUGGAAGCGUUUCCACUUCUAAAGAUUGCCUAUCAAACAGGAUUGGAGGCUUGGAACUGUAAAUGAAGAAGCAUGCUAACUUCAAAGCAUGGGUCAUUGUGCUCGACUGUGGGAAAUCCACAGACCCAGGCUGCAUUUAGUCAACAAAGGAAGAGCACCUGCUGAGGUGGAGACACUUGCCAGAUUGCUUUCCGGAGAAAACAGCUGUAAAAAUGAAUCCAGGGGAUGAUCCUGUAUCUCUGGACUGAUGGAUUCUGACAGGGUGGAAAACUGAGUGAUUUGACAGAAAUCCCUAGAGCUAUUCUAGGUAACCCUGAGAGACUUAUGGAGAACUAGCAGAUUACUACGUCUCUGCUAUCAUGUUGGACUUACAAACUUUGACUCACUUGUUAAUGCAUUUGAUCUAACUUCUCAAUAACUCAUUUCUUUUUCUUAGCUAAUAGACCUUUAGUUAGUUUAUCAGAGAGAUUGGCUGCCAGCAUUGUCUGAUGUGAGAUCCAGAGUAUCCGUUGUCCUGGGAUUCCAAGGCCAGAAGGGACCAUUGUGAUCAUCUAGUCUGACCUCUGGUAUAACACAGACCAUAGAACUUCCCCAAAACUUUUUCAGAGUCGCUGCUUCUCAAGAGAGAGUCCCCCAUUUUACUUUCCGAAGUGUGGAUGCCCGAGUUGGACACAGUAUUCCAGGAAUGGCCUCCUAAUGCCGUAUACAGAGGCCCGUAGGAAAGAAAAGUGCAGUGAUCAGAACAAGAGAAACAUUUAAAUAUAGGAUGGAUUCAAGUUUUCCUCCACAAGAGCACUGAACAGAUCCCUCAUCUCCCUUCCCCAGCAAUGAGUAAGGAAGCCACUCCAAAUCAUUAUACGAAGAGUAUGUUUACUAAUGUGAAAAUGAGAAUU